GAUCCUGGCUCAGGAUGAACGCUAGCGACAGGCUUAACACAUGCAAGUCGAGGGGCAGCACGGUGUAGCAAUACACUGGUGGCGACCGGCGCACGGGUGAGUAACACGUGUGCAACCAACCCCGUACCGGGAGAUAACCCGCGGAAACGUGGACUAACAUCCCAUAAUACUGGAGGAUCGCAUGAUCUUUCAUUUAAAAUUCCGGUGGUACGGGACGGGCACGCGCGACAUUAGGUAGUUGGCGGGGUAAGGGCCC
Molecule: ribosomal RNA, 256 nt
Filed under: uncultured bacterium
Lineage: Bacteria
Description: partial 16S ribosomal RNA
Rfam family: Bacterial small subunit ribosomal RNA
Source: RNAcentral